GUGCCAGGCGCCGGCGCAGCGCAGAGGCCCGGCGGGGCGGCGGGUGGCGGGCGGCGGGCGGGGGGGGGGCUGGGGGCGGCCGGCGGCUGCUCACCGAGGCUCCCCGCGGGCGGCGGGCUCCGGGCGGCGUCCGACGGCCCGGCUCGGCCAUUGCGGAGGCGCUGCGGCGGGCGGGGGGCGCGCGUCACCGCGGGCGGGCGGGCGGGUGCCCCAAACCCAGGGCCCUCCCCCGACACUCCCCGCUGCCGCCGCCGGGCGCGGCCCCGCGACACCCCAACCCCACCUCUUUUCCUCCUCUGCCAUCUCAGGCUGGCGGGGAGCGGGUUUGCGUCUACGGAAAGCCGGCGACGAUGCUGCCGAAAAUAACCCCGGUGCUGCGCAGGGCGGAGGGGGGGCGGGCGAGGCCCGCCUCGGCCGCACCCGCACUGACCGCCACCCACCCCGUGCUGCCGGGGGCGUCCGCGCUCAGAGCCACUCACCCACACUCCUCGCCGCCGCGCAGCCCGCAGCCCGGAAGACUUGCACGUGCGUGUUUUAGCCGUUAACUCCCGGCUUCCGUCUCCAAACGCUGCCUUCCACGCCCCGGAUGAGAGAGAAAUGCUCUUUGGAGCCGUGCGUGGAACAAUCCUCUCCGUGCUCCGGAACCAGACCCACAAUUCCAUCGUUAAGCCGCGGGCUCUGGGGCUGCUGGCCUCAGGGUCCCAGCACCCCCACUUCUUCAGGCUCCGGGUCUGGGGGGCCCCCCGGAAAAGUGCCCGCCUCUUAGAAUUGCCGGAGGGGCUCCCCGGGCUGAUAGGUGUGGCAGGGCAGGGUAAGGAUUGUAUGAAAACCGACUCGCGGGGCACAAUGGCCCCUGGGAAGGACAUUCCUUCUCCCACACCCAGACUUGGAAAUCAGCAGACCCCGAAGUUCGGCGCGUGAGAGCAAAUGUGUUUGCAAGCGGAUGAUUCCUGGUGACCCUCACAGGUGCAUAUGCCCCUCCUCCCUUCCUCCCAGACCCAGGCACUUUGGCCGCAGGAAACCCAGAACCGUCCGGGGAUUGUUGGCUAAGAACACGUUUGCUAGCACAGAAGCUCACGUGAAGAGUUGUUCUCCCACCACCGGACACCCUGGGGCACCUUCAGCUGGCCCAUUCCAACAUUCUCUGCCAUCCGGACGAUGGACACGGAGUAGGACUUGGAAGUCCCACCGUGGCAGCCCCCGUCUGCCCUUCCUUGGUCAUGAUCUCGUAGUUUGUGACAUCAAGCCCCACGUCAGCUCUGCACUGACAGCGUGGAGCCUGCUUGGGAUUCUCUCUUCCUCUCUCUCUGCCCCUCCCCUGUUCUCUCUCUCAAAAAUAAAUAAAUAAACUUAAAAAAAAUAUUGUGCCAGUUCAGUGUCUCUAGCAGCAAAUUAAAAACAAAACAAAACAUAGGAGUGCCUGGGUGGCUCAGUCGGUUAAGCAUCCGACUCUUGAUCUCAGCUCAGGUAAUGAUCCCAGGGUCAAUCAGGAGCCCUGCGUUGAGCCACAAUGAGCGUGGGGCCUGCUUGAGAUUCUCUUUCUGUGUGUGUGUCUCUCACUCUCUCUCUGUCUCAAAAUAAAAAU
Acinonyx jubatus (cheetah) is the source of this 1585-nucleotide long non-coding RNA. RefSeq lists it as uncharacterized. The record is from RefSeq and is a predicted model, not a curated record. NCBI's taxonomy places the organism in Eukaryota, Metazoa, Chordata, Mammalia, Carnivora, Felidae. The transcript has 2 exons.